UGAAAUUAUUCUAGUACACGUAGACACCUACCAAAAGUCAACCCCACCAUAUUCUUCUUCCUACAAAUAAGCUAGACUUCUUACUUAAAAAACUUUCAUUCAAUAUUCUACUCAUAAAUCAAAUGCACACAAGCCCCCCUACGUGGCUUAUGAAUUCCAUAAGCUGCAUGUUCUUCUACUGAACAGCUUUUAGCUUCUAACUUUCAGCUUUUCUUUCCGCUUAAUUUGCUCUACAAGAAAAGGCCUCAACGUCGGCCGCCCCUCCGAACCCUCAUCGAGUUUUUACGG
RNAcentral lists this long non-coding RNA (288 nucleotides) under Erythranthe guttata (spotted monkey flower). Its description in RNAcentral is "long non-coding RNA (EGUT_LNC001483)". Lineage: Eukaryota; Viridiplantae; Streptophyta; Magnoliopsida; Lamiales; Phrymaceae. The record is from RNAcentral.